RNAcentral lists this ribosomal RNA (478 nucleotides) under uncultured bacterium. RNAcentral describes it as "partial 16S ribosomal RNA". It matches the Rfam family "Bacterial small subunit ribosomal RNA", at positions 28 to 523 of the family's 1533-position model. The record is from RNAcentral.
GACGAACGCUGGCGGCGUGCUUAACACAUGCAAGUCGAACGGUAAGGCCCUUCGGGGUACACGAGUGGCGAACGGGUGAGUAACACGUGGGUGAUCUGCCCUGCACUUCGGGAUAAGCCUGGGAAACUGGGUCUAAUACCGGAUAGGACCACUGCCUGCAUGGGUGGUGGUGGAAAGCUUUUGCGGUGUGGGAUGGGCCCGCGGCCUAUCAGCUUGUUGGUGGGGUGAUGGCCUACCAAGGCGACGACGGGUAGCCGGCCUGAGAGGGUGACCGGCCACACUGGGACUGAGAUACGGCCCAGACUCCUACGGGAGGCAGCGGUGGGGAAUAUUGCACAAUGGGCGCAAGCCUGAUGCAGCGACGCCGCGUGAGGGAUGACGGCCUUCGGGUUGUAAACCUCUUUCAGCACCGACGAAGCGCAAGUGACUGUAGGUGCAGAAGAAGGACCGGCCAACUACGUGCCAGCCGCCGCUGUAA